Molecule: long non-coding RNA, 732 nt
Organism: Tarenaya hassleriana
Lineage: Eukaryota; Viridiplantae; Streptophyta; Magnoliopsida; Brassicales; Cleomaceae
Exons: 3
Source: RefSeq, a predicted model, not a curated record
GUACAGUUCCACUCACCAGGGAUUGACACGUGUAGUAAGUGAGAAUAUGUAAAAAUUUUCAAAUCAUUUUCUACGUAUUAAUAUGAUACCUUCUGUAGCAUGUUUUUGUAAUUCUUAUUAAUACAUUAAUUUCAUGCAGCAUGGUUAAUAUCAAUUCAACUACCAAGAAUGAUACGUCGUAUGUGUAUAUUUAUUCUACAUUAAUUUAAAGUUGACUAUUGAUUUCGUUGUAUUUAAUUUCUAUUAUUCUAUUCCUCAUAUUCAGUGUGUAUUUAUUUUAGUGUUAUGUCAUAUUUAAUGUAUGAAUAUCUUUCGUAUUCUAAAAAAAACUGAACCAAACUCAUAUAAAUUAAGCUUGAUAUGAUCUCUAUGCCAGAAUCAACCCUUUCAAAUCUGAAAACAACGAUGACUUAGUGUAGUUGUUGAACAAGAAGGAAGCAUGUUGGGGAUCUCUAACAUCACAGUCGGUCAUAUAAAACAGAUUCAGUUUGGUCGCUUGGAACUAAAAACUCAUUCAAGAAGUCAAAUCCUUUGUUCAUUGAAGAUGGGAAGAGUUAAGUUGAGGAUAGAGAUCUCGAGAUGCUUUAGAGAAGUGAUGGAGGGAGAGACGGGGGCUUGAGAGUACAAGCAACAUACAAGGUUUUUUAUAAGAUAUGUUUUUGUAUUGAUAAAUUAAAAAAAUGGAUGGUAUAAAGUUUUGGAUCUAAGUCUACAUCGUAACACAGGGUAAUG